CUGACGCAGCAACGCCGCGUGCGGGAUGACGGCCUUCGGGUUGUAAACCGCUUUCAGCAGGGACGAAGGGUCACCUUGACGGUACCUGCAGAAGAAGCACCGGCUAACUACGUGCCAGCAGCCGCGGUGAUACGUAGGGUGCGAGCGUUGUCCGGAAUUAUUGGGCGUAAAGAGCUUGUAGGCGGUCUGUUGCGUCGGAAGUGAAAACUCAGGGCUUAACCCUGAGCCUGCUUUCGAUACGGGCAGACUUGAGGGAUGUAGGGGAGAACGGAAUUCCUGGUGGAGCGGUGGAAUGCGCAGAUAUCAGGAGGAACACCAGUGGCGAAGGCGGUUCUCUGGACAUUUCCUGACGCUGAGAAGCGAAAGCGUGGGGAGCAAACAGGCUUAGAUACCCUGGUAGUCCACGCCGUAAACGGUGGGCACUAGGUGUGGGUUCCAUUCCACGGAAUCCGUGCCGAAGCUAACGCAUUAAGUGCCCCGCCUGGGGAGUACGGCCGCAAGGCUAAAACUCAAAGGAAUUGACGGGGGCCCGCACAAGCGGCGGAGCAUGCGGAUUAAUUCGAUGCAACGCGAAGAACCUUACCUGGGUUUGACAUAUGCCGGAUACACCUAGAGAUAGGUGCCCCGCAAGGCCGG
This 636-nucleotide ribosomal RNA is filed under the name Propionibacteriaceae bacterium Se1Ps_1990. Its description in RNAcentral is "bacterial SSU rRNA". It matches the Rfam family "Bacterial small subunit ribosomal RNA", at positions 383 to 1030 of the family's 1533-position model. Lineage: Bacteria; Bacillati; Actinomycetota; Actinomycetes; Propionibacteriales; Propionibacteriaceae. The record is from RNAcentral.